Molecule: long non-coding RNA, 568 nt
Organism: Daphnia pulex (common water flea)
Lineage: Eukaryota; Metazoa; Arthropoda; Branchiopoda; Diplostraca; Daphniidae
Exons: 3
Source: RefSeq, a predicted model, not a curated record
AGUUCCAGUUUCAGUGAAUGUACAUGAAGAGUGUGAAGUGUAUUUAGUACAUUUCCAGAUCUGCUUGAUCAAAGUCUAAUGUCUUUCUGAAUUCAUCACCCAAAUGAUAAAGAACUAUUUAUGACGUCCUCUGAGAUCGCGAGUCGGCCGCCAGUUUCAAUCUACAACGCAGAUUCUUCAUGGAAUCGUGAGUCCUGAGCCAACGCUGGCUUUUGUCCAUGACAGAAGAGGGACUUUUACCAACGUUCGGGUCCUUAUCUUCACCACGUACGCUGCUUCUUGUGCUUCAUUGGCGAAUUAAAUCACUUCAGUGUUCGCUUCCGCCCGCUGUGAAGUACCUGCAGUCACUCGCCACGGGAUUAUGCCCAGGUAAUGCAGAGGAGACGUCGAGAAGAUGGAUUUUCUCAUCUUUAACAAUCGUCACCGGUCUCCGUUGGACGUUGCCCCUGCUCCUGGUGCGAACGAAACUCGGUGGAAUCGCGACCGACACCGAGACUCGUCAUCAACGUGGAUCAUCGUAUUGUUGGUAUUAUUGUGUUAGUGUAAGUUAACCCGUUGGCUGCCACAC